GGGCUGAUAAGCUAAUGGUAAACUUCGAGGCUGGCAGUCUCGGUUUCCGGGUUCGAUCCCCGGUCAGUCCA
This 71-nucleotide transfer RNA is filed under the name Nanobdellota archaeon. RNAcentral describes it as "tRNA-Ala". It matches the Rfam family "tRNA". From Rfam's summary of the family: Transfer RNA (tRNA) molecules are approximately 80 nucleotides in length. Their secondary structure includes four short double-helical elements and three loops (D, anti-codon, and T loops). Further hydrogen bonds mediate the characteristic L-shaped molecular structure. tRNAs have two regions of fundamental functional importance: the anti-codon, which is responsible for specific mRNA codon recognition, and the 3' end, to which the tRNAs corresponding amino acid is attached (by aminoacyl-tRNA synthetases). tRNAs cope with the degeneracy of the genetic code in two manners: having more than one tRNA (with a specific anti-codon) for a particular amino acid; and 'wobble' base-pairing, i.e. permitting non-standard base-pairing at the 3rd anti-codon position. The record is from RNAcentral. Lineage: Archaea; Nanobdellati; Nanobdellota.